AUUGUUGCGUACCUGUAGCGCAAUGGACUUCUAAUUCAAAGGUUGUGGGUUCGAAUCCCACCAGAGAUG
Molecule: non-coding RNA, 69 nt
Organism: Trichonephila clavata
Lineage: Eukaryota; Metazoa; Arthropoda; Arachnida; Araneae; Nephilidae
Source: the annotation of a GenBank genome assembly